RNAcentral lists this ribosomal RNA (253 nucleotides) under uncultured bacterium. Its description in RNAcentral is "partial 16S ribosomal RNA". It matches the Rfam family "Bacterial small subunit ribosomal RNA", at positions 524 to 776 of the family's 1533-position model. The record is from RNAcentral.
UACGUAGGGACCAAGCGUUGUUCGGAUUUACUGGGCGUAAAGGGCGCGUAGGCGGCCCUACAAGUCACUUGUGAAAUCUCCGGGCUUAACUCGGAAACUGCCGUUGAUACUAUCUGUCUUGAAUAUCGUGGAGGUUAGCGGAAUAUGUCAUGUAGCGGUGAAAUGCUUAGAUAUGACAUAGAACACCCAUUGCGAAGGCAGCUAACUACACGAUCAUUGACACUGAGGCACGAAAGCGUGGGGAGCAAACAGG